GUACAUGCAGUCGAGCGAAUGACGAGAAGCUUGCUUCUCUGAUUUAGCGGCGGACGGGUGAGUAACACGUGGGCAACCUGCCCUACAGAUCGGGAUAACUCAGGGAAACCUGGGCUAAUACCGGAUAAUCCUUCGAAUCACAUGUUUUGAAGUUGAAAGGCGCUUCGGCGUCACUGUAGGAUGGGCCCGCGGUGCAUUAGCUAGUUGGUGGGGUAACGGCCUACCAAGGCAACGAUGCAUAGCCGACCUGAGAGGGUGAUCGGCCACAUUGGGACUGAGACACGGCCCAAACUCCUACGGGAGGCAGCAGUAGGGAAUCUUCCACAAUGGACGAAAGUCUGAUGGAGCAACGCCGCGUGAGUGAUGAAGGUUUUCGGAUCGUAAAACUCUGUUGUAAGGGAAGAACAAGUACGUUAGGAAAUGAACGUACCUUGACGGUACCUUAUUAGAAAGCCACGGCUAACUACGUGCCAGCAGCCGCGGUAAUACGUAGGUGGCAAGCGUUGUCCGGAUUUAUUGGGCGUAAAGCGCGCGCAGGUGGUUUCUUAAGUCUGAUGUGAAAGCCCACGGCUCAACCGUGGAGGGUCAUUGGAAACUGGGGAACUUGAGUGCAGAAGAGGAUAGUGGAAUUCCAAGUGUAGCGGUGAAAUGCGUAGAGAUUUGGAGGAACACCAGUGGCGAAGGCGACUGUCUGGUCUGUAACUGACACUGAG
RNAcentral lists this ribosomal RNA (713 nucleotides) under Kurthia gibsonii. RNAcentral's name for it is "bacterial SSU rRNA". It matches the Rfam family "Bacterial small subunit ribosomal RNA", at positions 51 to 750 of the family's 1533-position model. Lineage: Bacteria; Bacillati; Bacillota; Bacilli; Caryophanales; Caryophanaceae. The record is from RNAcentral.